This 457-nucleotide ribosomal RNA is filed under the name uncultured bacterium. Its description in RNAcentral is "bacterial SSU rRNA". It matches the Rfam family "Bacterial small subunit ribosomal RNA", at positions 343 to 797 of the family's 1533-position model. The record is from RNAcentral.
GGGAGGCAGCAGUGGGGAAUAUUGGACAAUGGGCGCAAGCCUGAUCCAGCCAUGCCGCGUGCAGGAAGACGCAUCUAUGGUGUGUAAACUGCUUUUGUACAGGAAGAAACAUCCCGACGUGUCGGGACUUGACGGUACUGUAAGAAUAAGGAUCGGCUAACUCCGUGCCAGCAGCCGCGGUAAUACGGAGGAUCCAAGCGUCAUCCGGAAUCAUUGGGUUUAAAGGGUCCGUAGGCGGUUUGAUAAGUCAGUGGUGAAAGCCCAUCGCUCAACGAUGGAACGGCCAUUGAUACUGUCAGACUUGAAUUAUUAGGAAGUAACUAGAAUAUGUAGUGUAGCGGUGAAAUGCUUAGAUAUUACAUGGAAUACCAAUUGCGAAGGCAGGUUACUACUAAUGGAUUGACGCUGAUGGACGAAAGCGUGGGGAGCGAACAGGAUUAGAUACCCCUGUAGUCAU